GAAGAUAGAAAACCUUAUGAUUGAUUGUCUCGACCUCAAGAUGUAUAUAAAGAAAAAUAAUAAAAUAGUGUUUCGAAGAUAGAAAAAUAAUAUAUCUUGUAACAAAUUAUCUUGGCCAUCUAUUUUUAAGAUUUUUAAGUAUUUAUAGAUCUGCUCGAUCUAUAUCUUUUUUAAUGUUACUUUUCAUAAUUAGAGUUGAACAUGAAUUUUGAAGCUAUCGUGAGAUUUCUGAAACCAAAACUAUAUAUUUCGGCAAAAUUUAAAGGUCCACUUAGGAAAUAGGCUGGGUCGUGGUGGUAGCACCCCCAUACCUAGUUACCAGGUUGUGAUUUCCAAUCCUAUUGACGCCACCCACUGACACUUUCAAAAAAUCUAACUCCC
This 381-nucleotide long non-coding RNA is filed under the name Amborella trichopoda. Its description in RNAcentral is "long non-coding RNA (ATRI_LNC003115)". Lineage: Eukaryota; Viridiplantae; Streptophyta; Magnoliopsida; Amborellales; Amborellaceae. The record is from RNAcentral.